This 253-nucleotide ribosomal RNA is filed under the name uncultured bacterium. RNAcentral describes it as "partial 16S ribosomal RNA". It matches the Rfam family "Bacterial small subunit ribosomal RNA", at positions 524 to 776 of the family's 1533-position model. The record is from RNAcentral.
UACGAGGGGGGCGAGCGUUGUUCGGAAUUAUUGGGCGUAAAGGGCGCGUAGGCGGUCGGAUAAGUCUUGUGUGAAAUCUUCGGGCUCAACUCGAAGUCUGCACAGGAAACUAUCUGGCUUGAGUGUGGGAGAGGUGAGUGGAAUUCCUGGUGUAGCGGUGAAAUGCGUAGAUAUCAGGAGGAACACCUGUGGCGAAAGCGGCUCACUGGACCACGACUGACGCUGAGGCGCGAAAGCUAGGGGAGCAAACAGG